CCUGUUCGAGCGUCGUUUCACCACUCAAGCCUCGCUUGGUAUUGGGCGCCGCGUCUACCGCGCGCCUCAACGUCAUCGGCCGAGUUGUCCCGUCUCUAAGCGUUGUGACCAUCAGUUCGCUUUGGAGGCCGGGGCGGUCGCGCCGCUAAAUCUUUCUCUAGGUUGACCUCGGAUCAGGUAGGGAUACCCGCUGAACUUAA
Molecule: unclassified non-coding RNA, 200 nt
Filed under: soil metagenome
Description: partial contains internal transcribed spacer 2 and large subunit ribosomal RNA
Source: RNAcentral